Molecule: transfer RNA, 72 nt
Filed under: Camelus bactrianus (Bactrian camel)
Lineage: Eukaryota; Metazoa; Chordata; Mammalia; Artiodactyla; Camelidae
Also listed under: 1 other name
Rfam family: tRNA
About the family: Transfer RNA (tRNA) molecules are approximately 80 nucleotides in length.
Source: Rfam by way of RNAcentral
GGGGGUAUAGCUCAGUGGUAGAGUGUGUGCUUGGUAUGCAUAAGGUCCUGGGUUCAAUCCCUGGUGCCUCUG